RNAcentral lists this ribosomal RNA (372 nucleotides) under uncultured organism. Its description in RNAcentral is "partial 16S ribosomal RNA". It matches the Rfam family "Bacterial small subunit ribosomal RNA", at positions 527 to 896 of the family's 1533-position model. The record is from RNAcentral.
GUAGGUGGCAAGCGUUGUCCGGAAUUAUGGGCGUAAAGCGCGCGCAGGUGGGUUCUUUAAGUCUGAUGUGAAAGCCCCCGGGCUCAACCGGGGAGGGUCAUUGGAAACUGGGGAACUUGAGUGCAGGAGAGGAAAGUGGAAUUCCACGUGUAGCGGUGAAAUGCGUAGAUAUGUGGAGGAACACCAGUGGCGAAGGCGACUUUCUGGCCUGUAACUGACACUGAGGCGCGAAAGCGUGGGGAGCAAACAGGAUUAGAUACCCUGGUAGUCCACGCCGUAAACGAUGAGUGCUAAGUGUUGGGGGGUUUCCGCCCCUCAGUGCUGCAGCUAACGCAUUAAGCACUCCGCCUGGGGAGUACGGCCGCAAGACUG